This 706-nucleotide long non-coding RNA is filed under the name Anser brachyrhynchus (Pink-footed goose). Its description in RNAcentral is "lncRNA (ENSABRG00000004345.1)". Lineage: Eukaryota; Metazoa; Chordata; Aves; Anseriformes; Anatidae. The record is from RNAcentral.
CGAACAGCGCCUUUCAGUAUAACUAUGUCAGGCAGUAUAGUCUCAGUACAAUUAUGGAUAAAGUUAGUAAAUAGACAUUUAAAAACAUAUUAAUUUAUGCUUAACCACAUCAAGUGGAGAAUUCAGUGUGUGUAUUAAAAUAUAUUUUUAGGUUAACCAAGUGGCCCAGGACUGAACUUACCUGUUGCAUGGAGGAUCAUGGAGCCUACAAGAACAUGAAGAGAUCUUCGCAAGUUAUGGAAAAAGAAAAAUUGAAGUAUGAUGGUGAAAUAUGAGGAAACAGUUUGGCUGUUAAUCAGCAUAAGGAUGCUCCAUCUUGCUUGGAAAACAAAGCGCUUCAGUACCAAAAAGUUUCUUCAAAGAAACUCCCAGACUGUAACUUGUGCAGCUCUGCAGAGGGGAGCUCUCACUGUACUUCAAAGCGGAGAAAAUCCUGCAGCUGUCUGGAGCCCGCUUGCCCCAGGAGGUGUCACUGUUGGGACUGGCAGGGUGAGCUCCAGAGCUGCUGUUUAUUUUUUAAAGACUGCAUUGACCAUGAGGUAGGAAUUGACCUGUAUUACAUCUCCCCUCCCCACUCCAGCCCUUCUGGGAAAAGGUAAUCACAGGUAAAAUUAGCUGUUUUUUAUAUGGAGGUAUGGGCAAAUACAGAAAUUAGCAAUAAUGAAAAGUAAAUAAAAAUUGAAUGCUAUCUUCUAUCUGAGAAAUA